CCAAUAGCGUAUAUUAAAGUUGUUGCAGUUAAAAAGCUCGUAGUUGAAUUUCGGGAUUAGUACGCUGGUCGUGCCUUCGGUAUGUACUGGUGUUACUGGUUCCUACCUUCUGACGAAUCGUCAUGUCAUUAAUUUGGUGUGGCGGGGAAUCAGGACUGUUACUUUGAAAAAAUUAGAGUGUUUAAAGCAGGCUCGCGCUUGAAUACAUUAGCAUGGAAUAAUGAAAUAGGACGUUUGAUCCUAUUUUGUUGGUUUCUAGGAUUGACGUAAUGAUUAAUAGGGAUAGUUGGGGGCAUUAGUAUUCAAUUGUCAGAGGUGAAAUUCUUGGAUUUAUUGAAGACUAACUACUGCGAAAGCAUUUGCCAAGGAUGUUUUCAUUAAUCAAGAACGAAAGUUAGGGGAUCGAAGACGAUCAGAUACCGUCGUAGUCUUAACCAUAAACUAUGCCGACUAGGGAUCGGAUGAUGUUAUUUUUAAUGACUCAUUCGGCGCCUUACG
Molecule: ribosomal RNA, 498 nt
Filed under: uncultured Glomeromycotina
Lineage: Eukaryota; Fungi; Glomeromycota
Description: partial small subunit ribosomal RNA
Rfam family: Eukaryotic small subunit ribosomal RNA
Source: RNAcentral